AGUGAGAAUGCAGCUAUCUAUGGUUAACUUAAAAUUUCAUCUUUUAAUUUACAUAGUCACAGUUUCAGAAGUAAAAUUAUAUAUUAUGACAUCUUAUAAUAAAUACAACAUCAAAUGAGACUUGACUUACUAACUAUGAACGUAUAACAAGAAGUGUUAAACAACUUCUACAAUUGAUUCAGUUAGGUAAUAAUACAAUAAAGUUUUCUUAUGAAGAUAAGAAAGGAGAAUACAUCAAGUAAAAUGGAAAGAAGUAAGAUUUUUUUUGGGGAAAAUGUCUAUGUGUACAUGUAUAGAAUUUGGUAUGAAAUCCUCACCGAUUCUACCCUGCUUUUCAAUAGAGGUGUGGGCCGAGAAAGAGUAAUGCUGGAGCAACAAAAUUAGCAUCCUUUUGAAAAAACGAAUUCGCUACAAUUCGUAUUUUUAGUGCAAUCAUUGAAGUCAAAGUAUAUAACCGUAACAUUUUUUGUUACUGAUGCAGAUAUGAAAUAAUACAGUGAUAAAAGCUGUUUAUGCAGAUAAAAUGGAGAAAACACCAUGAAAAAUGGAGAGAAAUAAUAUUUUCUUUUGGGAAGAUGUGUACUUGCAUAGAAUUUCAUAAGAAAAUCUCACAAUUGUACCCUACAAGCACAGAAUAUCUAGCUACGCAAGCGUAGCUAGAUAUUCUGUGCUACAAGUGUGGGCUAAGAAAAAGUAAAGCUGGAGUAACAAGAUCGGAAUCCUGUUGAAAAAACGGAUCCGCCAAAUGGUUUCUGCUUAUAAUUGUUGCCUUCAAAUAAUUUAUGCAAAUAUCUCUUCAGAAAAUUAUACUUCCGAACAUUCAGAUGCAUGGAAGCUAUGCUGUACAUCCCAAAUCUGCUUUUUUUGAUGAUAUAAAGAUCAUUUUAGUGGUUGUUCCAUGCUGGUAGAAAUGUAUUGUUAUGAGGAGAUGCAGUGAAUAAGGUUUUCUAUUGAUGUCCUCACUCUCAUUUUUUAUAAGAUAUAAAGACAAUAGUAGUAUGCAGUUUAAAAAUAAUUUUGGAACCAUACAAGACUUGGCUUAUUAACAAAGAAUAUAUAGGAAAAAGCGAAAAAUGACUUCUACAAAUGAUGCAGAUAUGAAAUAAUACAGUGAUAAGAGUUGUUUAUGAAGAUAAAAUGGAGAAAACACUAAGAAAAAUGGAGAGAAAUAUGAUUUUCUUUUGGGAAGAUGUGUACUUGCAUAGAAUUUCAUAAGAAAAUCUCACAAUUUUACCCUGCAAGUGUGGGCCGAGAAAAAGUAAAGCUGGAGUAACUAGAUCGGAAUCCUGUUGAAAAAACGGAUCCGCCAAAUGGUUGCUGCUUAUAAUUGUUGCCUUCAAAUCAUUUCUGCAAAUACCUCUUCAGAAAAUUAUACUUCCGAACAUUCAGAUCCAUGGAAGCUAUGCUGUACAUCCCAAAUCUGCUUUUUUUGAUGAUAUAAAGAUAAUUUUAGUGGUUGUUCCAUGCUGAUAGAAAUGUAUUGUUAUGAGGAGAUGCAGUGAAUAAGAACCAGGACUUUCCAGAAGGGUAGCCAGAAGAUGUAUUUACCUCAACAUAGACAUCAGCAUGUCCAUCAGCCACCUUGGAU
Sitophilus oryzae (rice weevil) is the source of this 1588-nucleotide long non-coding RNA. RefSeq lists it as uncharacterized. NCBI's taxonomy places the organism in Eukaryota, Metazoa, Arthropoda, Insecta, Coleoptera, Curculionidae. The record is from RefSeq and is a predicted model, not a curated record. The transcript is spliced from 7 exons.